RNAcentral lists this long non-coding RNA (7860 nucleotides) under Eutrema salsugineum. Its description in RNAcentral is "long non-coding RNA (ESAL_LNC000628)". The record is from RNAcentral. Lineage: Eukaryota; Viridiplantae; Streptophyta; Magnoliopsida; Brassicales; Brassicaceae.
AACUAAUUCAUACAGAAACAUAUAUAUAAGACCAAAUGUUCAAAAAAAAAUUAGACACAAAUCUUGACGUUGACCUACAUAUAUGAAUUCAUGGGAUCUUAAUUAUAGUCAUUAAUUCCAUACCUUGGAGGUGUAGUAGAAACUUGCUGUAGCCAAAAAAAUGUCCUUGAAGAUCAGGUGUGAAUGUUGAUCCAAUAGAACAAUGCUUAUAAGGACAUUUCUCUGUAAACAAAAAAUACCAAAACUACACACAUAAGAGAUGAAGAAACUUGACACGAAGAACGAUAUUCAGCUAUACCUUAUAAUGAUCAUACCAUUUCCUUCCUGCAACAUUGCGAAUGUAGCCGAUCGGCAUUGAGUGAAAUUACCAGCAGCUUGAAGUGAAGCUGUUAAUCUGCUUUCUUCGGUCGAGUUUUUCUUCUGUGAGUUUUGGUCGAAGAUGUAUCCUUUAGGAGUACAAGGGUCAGUAACUAUUCCAUCUUCUGUAGAGUUUACAGCUGCAAGGAUUAAAACACUGUAUAUGAGUUCUGUGGGGGAAAAAUAAGAAUGAAGCUUAUUUCAAUUUGCCUAAACUCAAAUGUUGCUAAUUACUUGAGAGAUUUAUUAACAAUAUCAACCUGAGUUGUGGAGUGAUUCCCAUAACUUGUCAUGUGCUUCAUUCUGCAAAGCGACAAAAGUUAAUAGCAUUCUUCAAACUUAACAAAGUUUUGUUGGCAUGUUUUACAUUUUUUAUGAAAUUAAUUUAAAAAAAAAAAAAAAAAACAGAGACCAUGAGGCAGCAAAUAGGGACACAAUUACACUAAGCUUUCAAAUAACUUUUUUUUGAAAUGGGUUCAUGAAAGAAAACAACCACUCAAAGACAAAUGCUCUACUCUUAGAAUUUACAUACCUGUCCAAGAUGGAGGAAGCUGUGACUAUAAAUUUUGUAAGAAACAUUACCAUAGGUUAUCGUACGCGACAACUCAGGAGGCACAGGCUCACUUGACACAAAUGUCACCUAAACCAAUCCACAAACAUGUCAGAUAUAGGUUUAUCUUUAAGUCUGAUAACAAAUUUGACUAAUUAAUAACCUGAGCAGAAGCGCCUCCGAGUGUAACAAUCCCCGUUGUUUGCAAAGGAUCACCUCCAAGCGAACCAAGUGCAUGAUUUGCAACAACCCAAGCAUAUAUACCUUCAUCAGAUCCUGGUAAGAUUUUCAAAUAAUUACCGACUAAUGGAUAUAGGCACAUUUACUAUCAACUCAACUAAGCUAAUAGAAUAUAAAAUGAAACUUCAACAUAUAUAAAUCCAAUAAUACUAACAACAUGUGACACACGAUAUAACACCAAUCAAAAGAGAGAUCCAUAUCUAUUAUAUAUAUAAUCUUUAAUUCUAAGACCAACAAUUACGUUUGGUCAAAUGUAAGAAUUGAUUCCAAAAAAGACUAACCAGAGAUAACCGAUGCCCAUUCGUCUCGAAACCUAAAACCAGAAGAUCUGAGAACUCCUCUGGUAACUUCAAGAAUCUGUUCCUGAACAGUUUCUUGAAGCAAUCUCAUCCCAGCAGUGGCCAUCAACCUAAUGUCACUGUUCUUCAACAUUCUCUUCGGAACCCUCCCUUUGGCGAAUUCCACGAGUUCCUUCAGUGACACGCUAGCUUCUUCCGGAUUAUCAGCAUACGAAGACAAUCCAGGAUUCAGCUUCAAGCUAGCGUAAUUCUCCUUACCGAAAUCGAAAACCGGUUUCCCGGAUUCGAGCCAGUACCGGAACACGUGAGCUCGGGUCCCAGAACUCCCUGCAUCGAUCACGACGCUGUACCGGAACGAGCUUCUCCGAUUGAAUAUAACUGAACGGAAAGCAAAGAAUAUCGCUAACGUGAUAGCUACGGAAACGAAGGUUAGCAGGAUAAUCGAUUUCGUGGGUUUGGGCUUGAACUUGGACUCAGUGAAAGUGUACGUCGGCGAUGAUUGGUGGUGGUCAGGUAGAAUCUGAGCCUUGAGAAGAUCCGUCUCCGAUUUCAUUUUUUCUCAAAACCUGAAAACGAGCAUGAGAUCGUUUAAGUAACCGUUAAAAAAAAAACGAACUAGAAAAUCAAUGAGAUCUUGACGUAGUGUGAAACGCUAGAAAACAAAAAAAAAAACGUAACCCGAUACCAAUUUUUGUUUUAGCUUAGUACUGACAACUGAGUCCGAAGUUUCUUGGUCUUAUGUCUAGAACAUGAUUAUAUAUAAACGGAGACAAGCUCGUCGCUACACUUCAGUCUCCUGUUUUUCCGCUCAGUCUCCGAUGGUUGUUUACUAACUUAAGUACUUUACAAAACACCUACUCUUAUAUAUAUUAGUCAAUGCAUCGUGAUUCAUAUGUUUUGCACAAAAAUAAUAAAAAAUAAAAAUCGUGAUUCAUAUGUUUAUGGCUAAGCGACACAGAUGAGACAGAGACACGUAGGUUCAUUUAAGCGUGGUCGGAGGGAAGAUUCCAAUCUUUCCAAUCAUAAUGAUGGGGUUCUGCUGUGGUAAUAUAAUAUUAGCCUACUAAAUUAGAAAAAAUCUUCAACAGUUUUUCUAAUUCAAUACAUCUACAUUUUUUUUAAUGUAUUAUUAAAGACUAAUUUGAAUAGAAAAAAAUUGAACCGCGCGUUUCUUCAAACCAUAGGCCUUUGAUAGGUGGAACUAGGCCUGAAAUUUUCGGGAACUAGGAUGAGAAUUUACGGAUAAGGGAUGGGAAUAAGAAUUUUGGGAAUCUGAAUAUACUACCCAAAAUAUUCCCACAAAAUAACGGGAGGAAAAUUAACGGGUAUGAGACGGGAAUGAGAAAUUAGGAAAUCAAAACAUAUUACCCAUACAAUCCCAAAAUAAAAUAUAAUCGGGAAAAAAACGAGAAAAGAACGGGAAAGGACGAGAAAAUUUUGGAUAAUUAAACUAAAAUCAAUCUUUUGUUUUUAAAAAAUUAUUAUUUGUUAAUAAAUUGAAAAAACUCAUUAUUUAUUAUAAAAAAAUUUUCAAUUAACCAAAAUUUCUAAAAUUUCACUUUAUAUAAUUACCCAACAAGAAGUUCAGAUAAUCCCAUUCUAGUCCAUACCCUUUCCUUUACCCAUUCAAAUAUUAUUUUUAAACCCGAAUGAGAAAUUCCUUUCUUAAAAUGUUCGGGAAUUUCAGGACAGGUAUGGAACAGGACGGAUUAUCCUUCCCGAAAAAUUCAGGCCUAGGGGGAACCACGUUGUUGGAUAUGGGGCAUUUUGCCCGUAUUAAACCAGCUGAAACGGUAUGAUGGUCACCCAUAUUAAUUGACUUUUACUUCCUUUAUUUUUACUUCUCGUGUGGCCCCCCUGACUAAAGAAGGAUGUUUUAUUUAUUUUUUUCUUUCGUAAGGACAUUUCUUUUUAGCAUAUUAAUGCAUUUUUUACUCAUUAACACUGAUGAAAUUAUAAAAUUCUAAAAAUAUUUAUCAGACUAUUGAUUUAGAAUUAUAGAAUUUUUUUUACUAGUUAAAACGAAUGGAUUUACGUGUUGGUGUCGCGAUAAAUUAAAUUAGUAACUUUGAAACAAUAAAUUUUAUAUAAUAACAUAAUAACUUGGAUGCACCCAAGAAAAAAAAACAUAAUAAUAAAUUGGACAGCAAAGCUAAUUUAUUGUAUUAGAGUGUAGGGUAUGAAACUUUUAUUAUGUAGAUGUUAAUUACAGUACUAUUAUACGUUUGGGAUAACAACUGCAUAUAUAAUAUUUAAUCUAUAAAAUUUUAUCAAAGAUAGAAAAGAUGAACUGCUCUGAAUUACGCUGAAUUACGAUUUGUCACGGACAACUGAAUCUCUAUUUCAGAAGACUCCAAGUUUAGACAAACUUUGAAAUUCUACAGAGUAACAAAAGGUAUAUUUUUGUGAACAUUGAUUACUGGCUUCGAUCGAUCAACAUAUUACCUGUUCGAAUGAACUUUCUUUUCUUGACUUUCAAAAUAAAUUGGCUACGUUACUUUAGCCAAGAAUUUUUCUAGCUUUGCCACUGUAAUCAGAAGUGGCUGUAGAAGUUUUUAGGAUAAAAGCUCCCAGUGCCCAGUCUAGUGAUAUGCCUUUUUCUCCUGCUUUAUUUGCAAACUCGAUUCUGCAGAGAAAACAAACAUAGUUUCUUUUUAUCGAAAACCCCAAAAAAAACGACAUCUAUUGAUAUAAGUGUUCUUGAAUUUGUGGCAGUAACAAUUUACCUUUCAUCAUCAAGAGCAAAACCAAGACUAUCGUGAAGCAUUGAGAUAAUAUAUGCUGAUGAGAAGCAAUAUCCAUGCAAAUACUUUUCUUUUGUUUUUGGGUAUUUCACUUUAAGUUUCGACCAUUCUUCUUUGCAGAAACUAUUGCCGGCUAAAGUCAUUCUAGACAGCCAAUUCUUUUCUUUUAGCCCAAAAAACUGAUCCAGAAAGAAACAUAAGACCAAAUGCUCAGACAAAUUAUCCACAAAUCGUGACAUUGACUAACAUGAAUUCAUGGGAUUAUAUACCUCCGAAGUGUAGUAGAAAUUUUCUGUAGCCAAAAACCUUCCUAACAAUAGCUGCAUCCAUGAGAGAUCCAAGAAUAUUGAAACCGAGAAACGACAUUCGGCUAUGCUAAUAAUGCUUCUUACCCUUUCCUUCUUGCAACAUUGCUAAUGUAGCGGAUCGGCAUUUUGAAUAAUCACCAGCAGCUUGAACCGAGGCUGUAAAUUUGUUUUCCUCAACUACGAAUCCAGAUGAGUCCUUGUGUGAAUUUUUGUCGACAAUGUACCCUUUAGGAGUACAAGGAUCAGUAACUAUUCCUUCCCCUGUAGAGUUUGCAACUGUGUGAGCUUUGACGGAAGAGAAGAUUGUUUCAAUUGCUUAAACUCAAAACUGCAAUUAUAUAACUUUACAAAAUCUUCAAGUUCGGUAGGUUUAAGAUUACCUGAGUUCCGGAGUGAUUCCAAAAACUCUUCUUGUGCUGCAUCCUACAAGGCGACAAAAAGUUAAUAGCUUCUUGAAAAUUAUCAAACGAUAAAUAUCCAUUUUCUUGGUAGCAUUUAUCAGCAAUUUUGAGGAAAUGUAAGAAUCAAUAAACAGCAAAUAGGGACAAGUUACACCAAAGUUUCCAAACAACUUAAAAAAACAAAAGAUGAAUCCAAGAAAACAGGCACUCAAAGACAAGCACUCUGCUCUCAGAAGUUACCUGUCCAUAGUGGAGGAAGCUGUGACUGUAUAGACUGUAUGAAACAUUUCCAUAGGUUAUCGUACGAGAAAACUCACGAGGCACAAGCUCACUUGACACGAAUGUCACCUAAACCAAUGCACAAACAGUCAUCGUCGACCAUUCACUUAGAAAGUCUCAAAAAUACCAAAUUUGACAGGGGAGGAUAUUAAACCUGCACAGAAGCCCCACCGAGUUCAACAAUCCCCGUCGUUUGCAAAGGAUCGCCUCCAAGCGAACCAAGCGCAUGAUUUGCAACAACCCAAGCAUACAUACCUUCAUCAGAUCCUGGAUAAAAUUUCCCAAAGAUAUUUCAAAUAAGUACCGCCUAAUGGAUACAGGCACAUUUACUAUCAACUCAACUAAGCUUUACACACAAAAAGAAGAGAAAUUUAAAACAAAGAUCCAAAGUCCAACAAAACUACACCAAGAGUUACUCCCACAGAGUUGGUCAGUGAUCAAUCGAUCUAGCCCAAAUCGUAAACAAACAAAAAAUCAAUUUUUGGUCAAAUCAAAGAAUUGAUUCCAAAAGACUAACCAGAGAUAACCGAUGCCCAUUCGUCUCGAAACCUAAACCCAGAAGAUCUAAGAACUCCUCUGGUGACUUGAAGAAUCUGUUCCUGAACAUUCACUUGAAGCAAUCUCAUCCCAGCAGUCGCCAUCAACCUAAUGUCACUCUUCUUCAACAUUCCCUCCGGAACUCUCCCCUUUGCGAACUUCACGAGCUCAGCCACUGACGCGCUCGCUCCUUGAGGAUUAUCAGCGUACGAAGACAAACCAGGAUUCAGCUUCAAGCUCGCGUAAUUCUCCUCACCGAAAUCGAAAACCGGUUUCCCGGAUUCGAUCCAGUACCGAAACACGUGAGCUCGAGACCCAGAACUCCCGGCAUCGAUGACGACGCUGUACCGGAACGAGCUUGGGUCUGUUCUCUGAUUCCAUCCGGAGAAUAGAAUUGGAUAGAGAGCAAAUAAUAACCCCAACGUCAUAUCGACCAAUAAUCUACAAUUUUUUUUACCGGAGGGAUAAACUAUUUAAAACAAAAAGUAAUUUUAAUUAAUUUUAAUUUAUAUAUGUUAUUAAAUAUGUACAAAUAUUGUUUACAGAUAUUUUUAAAAACCUUAAGUAGUACCGUACAAAAUUAGUUUUCUUAAUAAGAAAAUUAUAUCUUGUUGACAAACAAACUAUUAUAGAAAAUUUGGAUUUAUGAUAUUUAAAUUAAUUUCUUUGUAGUAUUUACUUGAUUUUUGUUAUACAGUAUAAGGGGAAAACUAUGAUUUCUUUCAUUUCCUUGAUUUGUGGUUUUUAAAAGCAUAUUUUUAAUAUUAUAACUUAUAAGUAUCCACAUUAUAUACUAGGUCUAUAUUUUGUUACAUUAUAAUUUAGAUUAACAAAAAAAUGAACACAAAAUUCUGGCAAUUAGAUCAUGGGAAGGUGGCUUCUAUGCUGGAAAUAAAUGACUUAGUUUAAAAUUACAAUAAUUUGAUUAAAAAUAAAAUAACUUUUUGUUUUUUUUUUUACCAAAUAACUUUUUUGUUAAGAGUGGAAAUUACCAAUACGGAAGUCAAAGUUAGUAGGAGAAUCGAUGAAGCUCGUCGUUACUCUCAGCAGUCUCCUUUGUUUUUUUUUUUGUUUUUUUAUUUAUCAUAUCAAUAAACGAUCCUAACAAGAAGUCGACCGUGGUUUGCAUUCGAGUUAACUGGACCAAAACAUAAAUCAGAAAUAAGAGAAAACAAAAUAAACAGACUCGGUUUUUUAGUAGUGGAGAAGAAGUUGGCCUAAUACAAAAUCCACAAGUCCAUGUCAUCAUGUUUUCUGGCAAAUAUUUCUCAUAUAAAUAAUAUAUCUUACAUCAAGUAACUUGCGGAACCUCCCAUUUCUUCUUUUCAUAUUGAUUCAAAAAUCUAUUAUUGCUUGAUGUUUUUUUUUUGGUGUCAUCUUAUUGCUUGAUGUUCUCAAUAUAGAGUUUCCUUUUCUUAAUUUUGAAAAAAUACAAUAGUUGCAAACACAGUUUAACGUAAAUUACAUCUACAUGACAUAACUUACGUGUUUUAUUGGAAACAUGAUAUAUCAUAGCAAACUAAUAUUUCAGCUAAGCAUUUUUCUAGAUUUGGCAAAGUAAUCACAAGUUGCCGUGGGAGUAUUUAGGAUAAAAGCUCCCAGUGCCCAGUCUAGUGAUAUGCCUUUUUCUCCUGCUUUAUUUGCAAACUUGAUUCUGCAGACAAAACGUACAAACAUAUUGUUUUUGAUACCAACUAAAAAAUCGACAUUAAUAUAUUGAUAUAUGUAAGUGUUAUUGAAUUUUGUGGCAGCUGACAAAUUACCUUUGAUCAUCAAGAGCAAAGCCAAGACUAUCGUGAAGCAUUGAGAUAAUAUAUGCUGAUGAGAAGCAAUAUCCACGCAAAUAUUUUUCUUUUGUUUUUGGGUAUUUCGCUUUCAGUGUCGACCAUUCUUCUCCACAGAAACUCUUGCCGGCUGAAAUCAUUUCAGACAGCCAAUUCUUUUCUUCUAGCCCAAGAAACUGAUCCAGACAGAAACAUAACACCAAAUAUUCUUCAAACAAAUUCACUCUCCACAAAUCUUGACGUCGAUCAAACAUAUGUAUUCAUGGGAUUAUAUACCUUGGAGGUGUAGUAGAAAUUUUCUGUAGCUAAAAACCUUCCUUGAAGAUCAGGUGUGAAUGUUGAUCCAAUAGAACAAUGCUUA